AGAUGAUUCGAGACAUGGGUG
RNAcentral lists this unclassified non-coding RNA (21 nucleotides) under Mus musculus (house mouse). Its description in RNAcentral is "oocyte_clustered_small_RNA13866". The record is from RNAcentral. Lineage: Eukaryota; Metazoa; Chordata; Mammalia; Rodentia; Muridae.